Transfer RNA from Felis catus (domestic cat), 85 nucleotides. It matches the Rfam family "tRNA". From Rfam's summary of the family: Transfer RNA (tRNA) molecules are approximately 80 nucleotides in length. The record is from Rfam. NCBI's taxonomy places the organism in Eukaryota, Metazoa, Chordata, Mammalia, Carnivora, Felidae.
GCUUGGGUGGCUCAGUCAGUUGAGCCUCUGACUUUGGCUCAGUUCAUGAUCUUGUGGUUUGUGAGUUCAAGCCCCACAUCAGGCU